GGGCAUUCUGAGGGCAGUAAACAGAGUCAGUCAUAAGCAGGACCUUUAGAUUGCUGCUAAGAUAACUUCCUCUCUCUAUAAAGACUUCUACAAACCAGGAGAAUUGAACUCAAUGAUAUUAGAGAUGAUGGAACAGCAGCUGUCCCAUGAAGAAAAGAUCAAAGGAAUACAGCCAAAAAUGGCAGGAGAAAAGUAUUAUUCGAGAGUUUCAGGGGCCAGAGAGCACGUAUUCUGUUGGUGGACCCAAUCAUCUGGCUGUGGACUGAAAGUGUAUGAACUUUAACUAGAGGAUGUUUGGGGGAGUCUAUGCAACUCUAGCAUAUCUGACAACAGGUAAAUUUUUCAAAGUAUUCAGUAGUCCUAAAGGGUUCAUCAGUGAGAAGAGUACUGUGGUCCUGUAGCUGGGACCCUGAGGGCGCAAUGUCAGGGUUCUAGCCAAUGGAAAGAGUGGCAUAAUUUAAAUAGUCUCCUUGCAAAUCUGCUGACACCAAGCUCACCAAAUCCCUUUACCUUUCUCUGAGUUCAUCUGACUGGCCAUAACCUCAGGAGUUGACUUGAAACACUCUCCCCUCUUUUUUUUUUUUUUUUUUUUUUUUGCCAUUUCUAGGCCCACUCCCAUGGCAUAUGGAGGUUCCCAGGCUAGAGGUCAAAUCGGAGCUGUAGCUGCCGACCUACACCAGAGCCACAGCAACUUGGGAUCUGAGCCACGUCUUUGACCUACAUCACAGCUCACGACAACGCCGGCUCCAUAAUCCACUGAGCAAGGCCAGGCAUCAAACCUGCAACCUCAUGGUUCCUAGUCGGAUUCGUUAACCACUGAGCCACAACGGGAACUCCAAA
RNAcentral lists this long non-coding RNA (840 nucleotides) under Sus scrofa (pig). RNAcentral describes it as "lncRNA (ENSSSCG00070006127.1)". Lineage: Eukaryota; Metazoa; Chordata; Mammalia; Artiodactyla; Suidae. The record is from RNAcentral.